Non-coding RNA from Lupinus albus (white lupine), 324 nucleotides. Lineage: Eukaryota; Viridiplantae; Streptophyta; Magnoliopsida; Fabales; Fabaceae. The record is from the annotation of a GenBank genome assembly.
AGUGGACGUGCCGGAGUGGUUAUCGGGCAUGACUAGAAAUCAUGUGGGCUCUGCCCGCGCAGGUUCGAAUCCUGCCGUUCACGAUUUUUUUAUUUUCAAACUAUUCUUUUCCAUUUGUAAAACAAUCAAGAGAAACUCCUAAGCAUUUAUGAUCAUGCUAUUAUUAUAUUUUUUAUUAUUACUUGGGUUUCUGACACACACAGAAAGCAAAUUUUGUAUCACAACUUCUUCACCCAACAAAUUUGGUGAUCUCCUUAUCUGUUAUCUGUAUUUGGAAUAAGACUUUUAGUGUAGAAUAUAGAGUUCUUAAGUGAAGAUACUAGU